UGGCUCAGUGGUAGAGUGCUUGCCUUGCAUGCAUGAGGCCCUGGAUUCGAUUCCUG
Molecule: transfer RNA, 56 nt
Filed under: Dipodomys ordii (Ord's kangaroo rat)
Lineage: Eukaryota; Metazoa; Chordata; Mammalia; Rodentia; Heteromyidae
Rfam family: tRNA
About the family: Transfer RNA (tRNA) molecules are approximately 80 nucleotides in length. Their secondary structure includes four short double-helical elements and three loops (D, anti-codon, and T loops).
Source: Rfam by way of RNAcentral